Molecule: long non-coding RNA, 398 nt
Organism: Eriocheir sinensis (Chinese mitten crab)
Lineage: Eukaryota; Metazoa; Arthropoda; Malacostraca; Decapoda; Varunidae
Exons: 3
Source: RefSeq, a predicted model, not a curated record
GGGUGAGGCAGUGGCCGGCGUGAGAGACCGUCCACACCGCAUGGCUCCCCCCAAGCCGCGCGUAGAGGCUCUGCAUGGUGCUGGUGUAGUAGGACGCCACGCCCGGGUUACCUGUCAGGGGUGUUGAGGUCUCCAGAAUGUGGUCCGAUGGUGACGUAGCAGACGCUCAUAGGCUUACAAGUGGGCGUGGGGACGAGGGAGGCCGCUGAUUGGCUGAGGCUGCACGACGUCAGAGGGUUGGAGUUGCCAGAGGUUGCGAGAUCCGAUGCUGUGGAAGAGAAACCUGUUGAAGAUGCGUAUGCAGAUCACCGUUACCCUCCCCCCUUCCUCCUCCUCCCUCCCUUACCUGUUCUCCCCUUCCCUCCCUUCCCUUACCUCCUCCUUCCACUCUCCUCCUC